Molecule: long non-coding RNA, 416 nt
Organism: Passer domesticus (house sparrow)
Lineage: Eukaryota; Metazoa; Chordata; Aves; Passeriformes; Passeridae
Exons: 3
Source: RefSeq, a predicted model, not a curated record
GAAAAUCCUAGAAGGAUUGUGGUUUCAAAUACUGCCAGUGGCAUACAAGCCUUUGACCUGACUACUGAGACAAAUGACACUGGAAAAAGUCCCUAAAAGAACAAAAAGCCAGAACAAAACUGACCAGAACUGGGCCAUCUUUGCAACAUCACUGGAAUGAAAUGCCUCAUUUCAAGGUGUAUUUAAGAAUGAUAGAGAAAAAGAAUCUUCAGUCUGAUGACAUAUACGAGUCAGGUGGAUGAAGACUGUAAAACAGAAGAAAAAAAAAGUUGCCUAAUUUAUCAGUCUCACAAAAGGCUUUGAAGCAGACAGAAAUAUUGAAGAGAGAUGAACAUUUAAUGUGAAAGCAGUGGAAAGCAAAUAAGGCCCUGGAGACCUGUGUUUCUCAGAAAAGUGUGUUAAAAAGCUUGUACGAA